This 253-nucleotide ribosomal RNA is filed under the name uncultured bacterium. RNAcentral describes it as "partial 16S ribosomal RNA". It matches the Rfam family "Bacterial small subunit ribosomal RNA", at positions 524 to 776 of the family's 1533-position model. The record is from RNAcentral.
UACGAAGGGUGCAAACGUUGCUCGGAAUUAUUGGGCGUAAAGCGCACGUAGGCGGCUAUCUAAGUCGGAUGUGAAAUCCCUCGGCUUAACCAAGGAAGUGCACCCGAAACUGGAUAGCUUGAGUACAGAAGAGGAUCGCGGAAUUCCCGGUGUAGAGGUGAAAUUCGUAGAUAUCGGGAGGAACACCAGUGGCGAAGGCGGCGAUCUGGGUAGAUACUGACGCUGAGGUGCGAAAGCGUGGGGAGCAAACAGG